Molecule: ribosomal RNA, 56 nt
Filed under: Pestalotiopsis sp. MA165
Lineage: Eukaryota; Fungi; Ascomycota; Sordariomycetes; Amphisphaeriales; Sporocadaceae
Also listed under: 1 other name
Description: partial 18S ribosomal RNA
Rfam family: Eukaryotic small subunit ribosomal RNA
Source: RNAcentral
UUGGAAGUAAAAGUCGUAACAAGGUCUCCGUUGGUGAACCAGCGGAGGGAUCAUUA